This is a non-coding RNA of Podarcis lilfordi (Lilford's wall lizard), 74 nucleotides long. The record is from the annotation of a GenBank genome assembly. Lineage: Eukaryota; Metazoa; Chordata; Lepidosauria; Squamata; Lacertidae.
GAAGGGUUGGAGCUCAGUAGUAGAGCAUCUGCUAAACAUGGAGAAGGCCUCAGGUUCAAUCCCUGCCAUCUUCA